CACAUGAAGAGGUGGCAUGAGUUACAUUUCUGACAUCCACAAGAAAUCUCUUCCCAGAAUCUGUUGAAUGCACAAAAAACUGGAAAUUUUGCUUCCUCCAGAAAAAUCCAAAGCUUCUGGAGCAACAUGGCAAAUGAAUUAUUGGCAUCUCACCUUCUUUUAGCUCAGGUCAAAAAUAUUGAAUUUUCUGUCAUAAUCCUCAUCCUGGAACUGUUGCAUGGAUUUGGGGAAUGCGCACCUCUCAGCUUCACCUCUGUCGUGGAGAAAAGGAAGCAAGGAACACAAAACUGAAGUUUGAAAGGGAAUAACCCCCCCCCCAAAUAAAACCAGGAUUUUCUUCCCCUGAGCACAUAACAGCACGUUCAUGUGUGGGUUCAGCGUCAGUGUGGGCUCAGUGUUCAUGUGCCUGAGGUCAUGGAUUCCUCAUCUUCCUCACACUGCCAUUCCUGUGGCCAUCAGCGGCUGGCUGCAAACUGGGUGCCAGACAUCAUGCAACUCCCUAACCCAAAUUAAGGCUUUGAACCAAUUCUGGAAGGCCCUGGAUUCACAGCCAUUCCCUUAUUUUCUAUGCAUGGAUUGAUUUGGUUCAGACAAAACCUCUGCUGGGGCAGAUUCCUGUCUGAACCCAACCAGGGAUGAGUUCAUUCUGAUUGCUGCCUGACAGAAAAUAAUUAUUUCCAGGAAACACUGGAAUUGAGUCCAUAAUCCAUAAGCACAGAUCUUCUCAUCCUCCAAAGAAACCACCUGAGGAACAGAGAAGUAUUUCUAGCUAUCUACCAGACAAAGAAAUGGCUGCAAAGAUUGCUAUAAAAUGACAUUGGCACUGGAUCCAGGACUGUCACUCAAGCCAGAGUGGAGAGGGAGCUGCACCACAGCUCUCUCAGCCUUUGAUUAAUUAAUUGGGAGCACAAUGAGGUAGGGUUUCCUCUGACAGACAGCAAGAGAAACCCAGCAUCCACAUAUAAGUGAUGGCUUGCCCUCAGCUUUAAUUAGAUUCACAGAUGCAAGCACCACUUUGAAGAGGGAAUGACAAAAUAAUAAUUUUUUCCUACCUAUAUUCUCUUAUUUCCUACACAUAUUCUCAUUUCCUAAGGACAUCUGAUCCCACCAGUGCAUACCCUAGCCGAACAUCCCUCUGUGCAAUCAUCUCAAAUCCCACCACCAGACAUUAUUUUAUUCCUCCCAUGUAUUCCUGUUCUUCCCUAUCACUGCUACGUAGACAGUAACUUCCAAAAAUCAUUUUCUCCUACAAAUGUUCACUUUCUCACCAAUGUUCCUUAUCUCACAUCCUAUUGUUGUGUUGUUUUGGUUUCCUUUUUCACUUUCUCAACUGUACUUUUGUGCCAUGAAGCCUCCCCAAAUCAGAAGAGGGUGCACAUCAAAACAGCGGAUAUUUUUAUUUUAUUUUAUUUUACUUUAUCUUAUUUGCCGCACAACCGGUAAUUUCAUUUUUCUUUGUAUUAUUGCCAUAUUGCUGUAAUACAAUUGAAACAGAAAGGGAAUAUUUACGCAUCAAUAAAAUAAAUACCAUAAUAUGAGUCAGUAAGAGGUUAGGUUGGGGUUUUUUUUCCUGGUAUGAAGUCACAAAUUCUAGAACAAAUAAUUAAUUACUAAUAGGCAGACUGAAGAUAUGUGACAGCAAAACCAUGGUAUUUCUUCUGGCUGUCAGGUCCAAUGGCAGUUAAAAUAUUUUUGACUAUGAGCAGUAAUUCUUUUUAGGCCAGGAAUUUCCGAGCUUUAUGGUUUUUAAUGUUUAUUCUUUUUUUUUUUUUUUUUCCUGGUUAAGGAACAGCAAGAUUUUAUUAAAUACUGAUUUCCAGGCUGGGAUGCUUUAGCAGCUCAUUAGACUGUCUGUGAGCUGAUCAGUGUUUCAGAGAAGGGAUUCCAGUUAGCUGGUUUAGCUCUGGUUAAGGGACUGUGGUUGCCUAGAGGGAAAGAAUCACUAAGACACAUCACCCCCUCUUUCAGCCCUCAUUGUCUCUAUGUUCACUUUUUGGCACAGAAACCAAUGUCCACCCAAUUUAAUCCACACUGUGCCCAGUCUGAACCCCUGAUUUUUGUAACUGAGAUAAAGCAGCAAUAAAAAAAAAAAAAACAAAAAAACGAAAAAACCCUUAUUUUUCUCUUUCAAAAGACUUGGGCCAAACUGUCAGACGACACAGAAAAUUAGAGUUACAUCAGUUUCUGCCAUGGGCAAAAUUCUGCUGCUCAGAACAUGAACUGCACCUCAUGUGAAUGUUGAUAUAUCCAAAUGAGACACUGCACUAAAACCAGGGCUACAAAUCCAGGAGAAGGUGGACAGACCUCACUGCCAGUCCCAGUUCUCAAAAUCGUGUGGAAAUUGAAAUUUCAAAACAUUUUUCAAGAUUUCUUCCACAGCUUCUUGCAGCUUCUAAUGUGCCAAGCCCUCCAAAUGGCCAAAACCAGUGUGCCCAACUGAGUAGUUAAAUAUUCUGUGCUUUUUUUUCUUCUAUGACUUCCACAAAUUUGUUGAUGGACCUUUCUAAAUAAAAUUAUUUUUUGCUUCUAAUACAA
This is a long non-coding RNA of Melospiza melodia melodia, 2535 nucleotides long. RefSeq lists it as uncharacterized. The transcript has 2 exons. The record is from RefSeq and is a predicted model, not a curated record. NCBI's taxonomy places the organism in Eukaryota, Metazoa, Chordata, Aves, Passeriformes, Passerellidae.